UAUUCCUUUGUGUCUGUUAGUCAACCUGAUCUGUUAUGUGUUCGUGGGGAGGGCAUCAUGGGCAUGUCCACACCAGUGUCCACCCCAUGCCCACUCCCCCCGCACUCGCCCAUGCUGUCGCACAGACCAAAGCAGGCACUCCCGCACCCACUCCCUCAUAUCGAGGGGCACCAUCCAGCACCCCUCCCCCACUAAUGAUCCUUCCGCAGGUUCACCUACGGAAA
Molecule: unclassified non-coding RNA, 224 nt
Filed under: uncultured fungus
Lineage: Eukaryota; Fungi
Description: sequence contains ITS1
Source: RNAcentral